CCUACGGGAGGCUGCAGUGGGGAAUUUUGGACAAUGGGGGCAACCCUGAUCCAGCCAUGCCGCGUGUAUGAAGAAGGCCUUCGGGUUGUAAAGUACUUUUGUUCGGGAAGAAAAGGGGACGGUUAAUACCCGUUUCUGCUGACGGUACCGAAAGAAUAAGCACCGGCUAACUACGUGCCAGCAGCCGCGGUAAUACGUAGGGUGCGAGCGUUAAUCGGAAUUACUGGGCGUAAAGCGAGCGCAGACGGUUAUUUAAGCAGGAUGUGAAAUCCCCGGGCUUAACCUGGGAACUGCGUUCUGAACUGGAUGGCUAGAGUGUGUCAGAGGGGGGUAGAAUUCCACGUGUAGCAGUGAAAUGCGUAGAGAUGUGGAGGAAUACCGAUGGCGAAGGCAGCCCCCUGGGAUAACACUGACGUUCAUGCUCGAAAGCGUGGGUAGCAAACAGGAUUAGAUACCCUGGUAGUC
Molecule: ribosomal RNA, 465 nt
Filed under: uncultured Eikenella sp.
Lineage: Bacteria; Pseudomonadati; Pseudomonadota; Betaproteobacteria; Neisseriales; Neisseriaceae
Description: bacterial SSU rRNA
Rfam family: Bacterial small subunit ribosomal RNA
Source: RNAcentral